UAUCUCUGUAGAGUCUGCAUAUCAAUAAGCGGAGGAAAAGAAACUAACAAGGAUUCCCUUAGUAACGGCGAGUGAAGCGGGAAGAGCUCGAAUUUGAAAUCUUCAAGGUUCUACCUUGACGAAUUGUAGUUUAAAGAAGUGUUUUCUGUUAGAUGAGUAGCAAAAGUUCCUUGGAAUGGGACAUCAUAGAGGGUGAGAAUCCCGUAUUUGGUUAUUCAUUCUAGCUUUGUGAUACACUUUCAAAGAGUCGGAUUGUUUGGGAAUGCAGUCCAAAAUGGGUGGUAAAUCUCAUCUAAAGCUAAAUAUUGGCGAGAGACCGAUAGCGAACAAGUACCGUGAGGGAAAGAUGAAAAGAACUUUGAAAAGAGAGUUAAACAGUACGUGAAAUUGUCAAAAGGGAAGCGUUUGACACCAGUGUUGUUUUUCCGAAAAUCAAUUACGAAUGGCUUGACUUUUGUGUUGUAUUGACCUUAUCAGCUUUCUUCACUUUUUUCGAGUCUUUCUUAAUGCACUUUUCGGUUAACAAGUCAACAUCAAUUUCUUUUGUUGUAAAAGAGUAUACGGAAGGUGGCUUUCUUUUCGGAGAAAGUGUUUAUAGCCCUAUGACUUCUGCAAUCGGAGAGAUUGAGGUCUGCAGCGUAGAUCCUUCGGGGUUAGAUACACUUGUGCUAAGUUGUAGCUUUUCAUAGACAACUUGUUGACUAUGUUUAGUCAUGCGGCUUACUCGCUUGUGCUAUUUUACCUACGCUUAGGAUGUUGACUGAUAUGUAGUCGU
Molecule: ribosomal RNA, 775 nt
Filed under: uncultured Neocallimastigales
Lineage: Eukaryota; Fungi; Neocallimastigomycota; Neocallimastigomycetes; Neocallimastigales
Description: partial large subunit ribosomal RNA
Rfam family: Eukaryotic large subunit ribosomal RNA
Source: RNAcentral